UUGUGCUGGCAAUCUGUGGGGGCAACUACCUGGCUCCCAUGCACAAUAUCAAAGAUGAGAUUGAGGGCGAGGGGAAGUGAAUUCCAUCACAUGAGACUGCUGUUGUCUAUUUGCCCCCCUGUCCAACAUGCAGUAAGCCGUGGAACCUGAUUUACUGGUUCUUGACUUGAGGGAAUAAAUUGGACAGCAAACAUUCUAGUGACCUUAUCCUUGCAGAAAUAUUAGCUCUGGACCCAUUUAAGUCUGCCCUCGGUGGCGUUCCUAUCUGCUCAUUCUUCUAUCUACAGAAGUGAGCAGGUGAUAUUUGUGCUAUGAAUUAGACCAGUUCAGUGUCCUGGGUGCGUGUGUGGACCUGUGUGGAGUUAGUACAUGAGAGCCACGUCUUUGAGUCCAUGUUGUGCUGGCACACUGGAAAACACAUCCCCUCUGCAUGUUUGCCAAGUUCAGGGAACACCUAUCCCAUUUCAGCCACCAAGUCUACUCUGUCCAGAGCAUCAAGCGCCAGUGGUGACCACGCUCACAAUUCUUCACCCCACCAUAGCCAGAACGUUCUAGGGAGUUGCUGGCCUGUAUGAAGCUUGUUCCGUAAUCAUCUCAGAACUCCUACCAGAAGGAGUGAAGAUUCAAGCUGAAGUGGUGACUGAAGAGGAAUCUACUCCAGUGGCUGCUGAUCAAGUGGAGGAGCCAUCUAACUAGGGUUUAGUAGAGGGAUCGAGUACCUCUUCACUGCAAUAAGGCAAGCCCCGGUGC
Molecule: long non-coding RNA, 750 nt
Organism: Zea mays
Lineage: Eukaryota; Viridiplantae; Streptophyta; Magnoliopsida; Poales; Poaceae
Exons: 3
Source: RefSeq, a predicted model, not a curated record